This 564-nucleotide unclassified non-coding RNA is filed under the name Zea mays. RNAcentral's name for it is "misc RNA Zm00001eb003250". The record is from RNAcentral. Lineage: Eukaryota; Viridiplantae; Streptophyta; Magnoliopsida; Poales; Poaceae.
GUCAUGAGCAUCUGCGCCUUCACUCGCUGGCGCCGCCACGACUCCCCGUCGGCGUUGAAGAUGCCGCCGCCCAGGACGUCGAAGAUGGCGGCGUACUCUUCGCCUUUAGGGUAGUUGGCGAAGUUGGACGUGAAGAUGUGGCGCACGUUGGAGGGGUCGCAGGUGAUGAAGUACCGCACGCCGGUGCGACCUGCGCGGGCUUCGAAGUUGUAGCCCGCGCCGGCGAGGACACCGGUGGCCCAGUCGUGGAAGUGAUGGAUGUUGGCGACCAAGCCGGGGAGAUGGCCGACUAUUGGCCAUUCGGUCGGCUCCAAAGGGCUCGUUUUCUUAGAUUGCAAGUGGCGGUAGUACAGGGUGAGGAAGCAGAGAACAAGGGCCAGCCCUACGAACAGAAAAAACGGCUCCAUGUCGAUGUCUGGAUGGGAAUGGGAUGGAACCACGAACGGUGCAACAUGGCUAUUUGUAAGCGACCGACUGAGCGAGUACUAGACUACGUAGGCCAUAAAUUUUUAAGCGAGGCUGAGGCUGGUGAGAUGUCUGCUGUCAGUGCAUAGUAAUAAGCGA